This 313-nucleotide unclassified non-coding RNA is filed under the name uncultured fungus. RNAcentral describes it as "partial contains small subunit ribosomal RNA, internal transcribed spacer 1, and 5.8S ribosomal RNA". The stretch from base 1 to 73 matches the Rfam family "Eukaryotic small subunit ribosomal RNA", at positions 1759 to 1831 of the family's 1831-position model. Lineage: Eukaryota; Fungi. The record is from RNAcentral.
UCAAACUUGGUCAUUUAGAGGAAGUAAAAGUCGUAACAAGGUUUCCGUAGGUGAACCUGCGGAAGGAUCAUUACUGAGUUAUGGGAAUCUUUUUGGUAGUCUUCUCGACUGCUGAACUGGUUCUUUGAUUCUCUUCACCCUUUGUUAUUAUUUAUCAGUUGCUUUGGUAGCUACCGACUUCGGUUGGUCUACCAAGGGUUUACUUUAACUACUUGUUUUACAGUAUCACUGGCAAUUAGUCUGAUUUUUAAAAUAAUUUUUUAAAACUUUCAACAAUGGAUCUCUUGGUUCUGGCAUCGAUGAAGAACGCAGC